UGCCAGUGAUGAUAAAAUUAGGGCUUGUUUCUCGACACAUCGUAGUUGCCACCUAAGAUCCUUUGCCCUGCCAGGCUUGAGAGAUAAUGUUGUUAGAUCCUUCCUUGGAUGUCUAGGAU
Lolium rigidum is the source of this 119-nucleotide small nucleolar RNA. RefSeq annotates it as small nucleolar RNA SNORD14. The record is from RefSeq and is a predicted model, not a curated record. NCBI's taxonomy places the organism in Eukaryota, Viridiplantae, Streptophyta, Magnoliopsida, Poales, Poaceae. The transcript has a single exon.